AGUCAAACAAUAAAAUAAAAUCCAGUACUCAAACUUUUAUCUACAGCGCUUUCGCCCUGCGGGCUCUUCAGUAGAUUUUUAAACAAUGUAAACCACCCGGACCUUAAACUGCGCCAAAUCGUUCUUGUUCAACACAAAUACUUAGUAAUUUCCUAGAUAUUAUGCUAAACUCCAUCUGCAAUGUUCCGAGUUAUAUUCGGGACGACAUGGAUUUCUUAAACCAUAUUCCUAAAGUCGUUUAAGAAAAUACAAAAUUGAUGAGUUUUGAUGUCACAAAUUUGUAUACAAAUAUCCCACACAACUUGGUAUAGAAGCCAUUUCCUUCUGGAUUGAUAAACAUCAAGGUGUAUUGCAAUCAAGAUUUUCAAAGAAAUUUAUCCUGGAAGGAAUCAAAAUAGUUUUGGAAAAUAAUCAUUUCUUUUUUUAAAACAAAUACUUUUUUCAAACGAAAGGAACAGCCAUGGGGACAAAAGUCUUACGCAACUUUAGUUUUGGGCUUUCUUGAGGAGAAACUAUUUACAGAAUGCAAAACAGUUUUUGGAGAAGAAUUUGGCCUGUAUAUUGAGAAUCAAUGGAAACGCUAUUUGGAUGAUUGCUUUAUUUUUUUGGGACCAAAUCAUUACAAGAUCCACAAUAUUCCCACAACAUGCUGAAUCACCUACACAAUAAUGGGGUUUAUCCAAUGUGGAUAAACCUGGUUAUUUUGUGCAGGUGGUAACAGACUACUAAUUUUACCCCUAUUUUAUUGACCACGCAAGUAGUGCCAAUUUAUAAAUAGAGGUUUUUUCUCAAAAAUUCUUGGGGAUGUCUGUGGGAUGGAAUUGUGUUAUUCUAGGGCAUAGAUGAAAAGGAGAGGGUCUGGAAAAAAAAAUAAAAAUAUAAUAAUGGGAAAUUCUGCUCUUAAGUGUGUAGUAGGAAGGGUGUAAAUAGGCCAUUGUUUACCUGCUUCUCAAAGGGAAAGGGAAAUAUGCAGGGUAGGAGUUACUUGCGGUGUCAUAACAGGACUUGUGUGCGGUGAAUUUUCCUGAGAUUCACAAAUAUUUUUGGACUUGAAUUGCUCUAAGUCUGUGCCAAAUUUCAGUGAGAACAUCACAGAACGGUAAUAAAUCUCACAGAUAUGCUGCAUCAUCAGUCAGAGCAUCACAGAAUGGUUAGACAUCUUACAGGUAUGCUGCAUUAUCAGUCAGAACAUCACAGAACGGUAAGAAAAUCUCACAGAUAUGCUGCACCAUCAGUCAGAGCAUCACAGAACGGUACGAAAUCUUACAGGUAUGCUGCAUUAUCAGUCAGAACAUCACAGAACGGUAAGAAAAUUUCACAGAUAUGCUGUAUCAUCAGUCAGAACAUCACAGAACGGUACGAAAUCUUACAGGUAUGCUGCAGCAUCAGUCAGAACAUCACAGAACGGUACGAAAUCUUACAGGUAUGCUGCAGCAUCAUUCAGAACAUCACAGAACGGUUAGAAAUCUGACAGGUAUGCUGCAGCAUCAGUCAGAACAUCACAGAACGGUAAGAAAUCUUACAGGUAUGCUGCAGCAGUACUGUGGAAUAGCUUCCCACAAAAUGUUAGGGACACAAGUAAUUUUAAUCGUUUCAAAUCCUUACAAUCCCAUUGGAAUGGAAAGGGCUGCAGUUGCAAUUCCGGUUGGUAAUUUUUUUUUUAUCCAUACUGCUGCAACAAAUCCUGGGUCCGUUCUACAAAAUAACUUAGGACAAAGUUGCAAAUCUGAAAUUGUAUUACACAGUUAUAAGUUUAAAUGAAUAAAUUAAAACGUGUCUGAGAGACUGAGACUUAAUUUUCAGCAUUAUGUUUUACUAUUUUAAAUUCGUUGGUCGUAAGUUGUAAGUUCUUUUGACAUGCCUCUAUCACAUCCUCUGACAUGCCUCUAUCACAUCCUCUGACAUGCCUCUAUCACAUCCUCUGACAUGCCUCUAUCACAUCCUCUGACAUGCCUCUAUUACAUCCUCUGACAUGCCUCUAUCACAUCCUCUGACAUGCCUCUAUCACAUCCUCUGACAUGCCUCUAUCACAUCCUCUGACAUGCCUCUAUCACAUCCUCUGACAUGCCUCUAUCACAUCCUCUGACAUGCCUCUAUCACAUCCUCUGACAUGCCUCUAUCACAUCCUCUAACAUGCCUCUAUUACAUCCUCUGCUUUAUGCCUUAACAGUGCUUUUGUAAAAUGUCUCUUAUUGAUGUCCAGUGCUGUAAUAUAUGUAUGUGUAUAUAUUGUCUGUCAUUGAUUUUCAGUGCUGCAAUAUUUGCAUAUAAUGUCUGCUAUUGAUAUUCAGUGCUGUAAUAUCUGUAUAUAACGUCUGUUAUUAAUGUUAAGUGCUGUAAUAUGUGUAUAUAAUGUGUGUUAUUGAUGUUCAGUGCUGUAAUAUGUGUGUGUAUAAUGUUUGUUAUUGAUGUUCAGUGCUGUUAUAUGUGUAUAUAAUGUCUGAUAUUGAUAUUCAGUGCUGUAAUAUGUGUAUGUGUAUAUAAUGUCUGUAAUUGAUGUUCAGUGUUGUAAUAUGUGUAUAUAAUGUCUGCUAUUGAUGUUCAGUGCUGUAAUAUGUGUAUGUGUAUAUAAUGUUUGUCAUUGAUGUUCAGUUCUGUAAUAUGUGUGUGUGUGUAUAAAGUAUGUUAUUUAUUAUUAUAAGUAUGUGACACGGGGUAUCCGUUUUUAAAGUCAUUUCCGAGGACCCAUGACAUUCACACCUGAUGCCGAGCAUUUGGCGAUGGAACUGGCGCUACCUGUUUAAAAGACUUAGGUCUGCGCGACCCCGAACGUCCAUAUGCGAUGCGAACGGAAGAUCGGGGUUCGAAUCCCGGCCGCGACUGUAUUUCCUUACAUGAAUACUAAUGAAAUUGACAUUCAAUUUCGUAUAACAUGAAGUUGGUAACGUGAUCAGUCUUUUCUUAAGCAUGAA
Long non-coding RNA from Ostrea edulis (European flat oyster), 2912 nucleotides. RefSeq lists it as uncharacterized. Lineage: Eukaryota; Metazoa; Mollusca; Bivalvia; Ostreida; Ostreidae. The transcript has 2 exons. The record is from RefSeq and is a predicted model, not a curated record.